This is a non-coding RNA of Trichonephila clavipes, 73 nucleotides long. NCBI's taxonomy places the organism in Eukaryota, Metazoa, Arthropoda, Arachnida, Araneae, Nephilidae. The record is from the annotation of a GenBank genome assembly.
GUCUCUGUAGCGCAAUGGAUAACGUGUUGGACUUUUAAUACAAAUAUUGUGGGUUUGAAUUCCAACUGGGAUG